This 258-nucleotide ribosomal RNA is filed under the name uncultured bacterium. RNAcentral's name for it is "partial small subunit ribosomal RNA". It matches the Rfam family "Bacterial small subunit ribosomal RNA", at positions 26 to 285 of the family's 1533-position model. The record is from RNAcentral.
AGGACGAACGCUGGCGGCGUGCUUAACACAUGCAAGUCGAGCGAGGCCCUUCCUUCGGGAAGGUGCCCUAGCGGCGAACGGGUGAGUAACACGUGGGCAACCUGCCCCUAGCACUGGGAUAACUCCGGGAAACCGGGGCUAAUACCGGAUAUGACGUUCGAGGGCAUCCUCGUUCGUGUAAAGGAUUCUGGCUAGGGAUGGGCCCGCGGCCUAUCAGCUUGUUGGUGGGGUAAUGGCCUACCAAGGCGACGACGGGUA